RNAcentral lists this ribosomal RNA (337 nucleotides) under uncultured Clostridium sp. RNAcentral describes it as "bacterial SSU rRNA". It matches the Rfam family "Bacterial small subunit ribosomal RNA", at positions 356 to 710 of the family's 1533-position model. The record is from RNAcentral. Lineage: Bacteria; Bacillati; Bacillota; Clostridia; Eubacteriales; Clostridiaceae.
GGGGAAUAUUGCACAAUGGGGGAAACCCGUGAUGCAGCGACGCCGCGUGAGUGAAGAAGUAUUUCGGUAUGUAAAGCUCUAUCAGCAGGGAAGAAAACGACGGUACCUGACUAAGAAGCCCCGGCUAACUACGUGCCAGCAGCCGCGGUAAUACGUAGGGGGCAAGCGUUAUCCGGAUUUACUGGGUGUAAAGGGAGCGUAGACGGUAAAGCAAGUCUGAAGUGAAAGCCCGCGGCUCAACUGCGGGACUGCUUUGGAAACUGUUUAACUGGAGUGCUGGAGAGGUAAGCGGAAUUCCUAGUGUAGCGGUGAAAUGCGUAGAUAUUAGGAGGACACC